GUUUGACCUCAAAUCAGGUAGGAUUACCCGCUGAACUUAAGC
Molecule: ribosomal RNA, 42 nt
Filed under: Petasospora pattaniensis
Lineage: Eukaryota; Fungi; Ascomycota; Saccharomycetes; Phaffomycetales; Wickerhamomycetaceae
Description: [Candida] pattaniensis partial 28S ribosomal RNA
Source: RNAcentral